UACGUAGGGGGCAAGCGUUGUCCGGAUUUAUUGGGCGUAAAGAGCGUGUAGGCGGCCAAACAGGUCAGCUGUGAAAACUCGAGGCUCAACCUCGAGACGUCGGUUGAAACCGUUUGGCUAGAGUCCGGAAGAGGAGAGUGGAAUUCCCGGUGUAGCGGUGAAAUGACGCAGAUAUCGGGAAGAACACCCGUGGCGAAGGCGGCUCUCUGGGACGGUACUGACGCUGAGACGCGAAAGCGUGGGGAGCGAACGAGG
RNAcentral lists this ribosomal RNA (255 nucleotides) under uncultured bacterium. RNAcentral's name for it is "partial 16S ribosomal RNA". It matches the Rfam family "Bacterial small subunit ribosomal RNA", at positions 524 to 777 of the family's 1533-position model. The record is from RNAcentral.